UCCUGGCUCAGAUUGAACGCUGGCGGCAUGCCUUACACAUGCAAGUCGAACGGCAGCGCGGGGCAACCUGGCGGCGAGUGGCGAACGGGUGAGUAAUAUAUCGGAACGUACCCUGGAGUGGGGGAUAACGUAGCGAAAGUUACGCUAAUACCGCAUACGAUCUACGGAUGAAAUGGGGGAUCGCAAGACCUCAUGCUCGUGGAGCGGCCGAUAUCUGAUUAGCUAGUUGGUAGGGUAAAAGCCUACCAAGGCAUCGAUCAGUAGCUGGUCUGAGAGGACGACCAGCCACACUGGAACUGAGACACGGUCCAGACUCCUACGGGAGGCAGCAGUGGGGAAUUUUGGACAAUGGGCGCAAGCCUGAUCCAGCAAUGCCGCGUGAGUGAAGAAGGCCUUCGGGUUGUAAAGCUCUUUUGUCAGGGAAGAAACGGUGCUUUCUAAUACAGAGCGCUAAUGACGGUACCUGAAGAAUAAGCACCGGCUAACUACGUG
RNAcentral lists this ribosomal RNA (492 nucleotides) under uncultured Oxalobacteraceae bacterium. Its description in RNAcentral is "bacterial SSU rRNA". It matches the Rfam family "Bacterial small subunit ribosomal RNA", at positions 17 to 507 of the family's 1533-position model. The record is from RNAcentral. Lineage: Bacteria; Pseudomonadati; Pseudomonadota; Betaproteobacteria; Burkholderiales; Oxalobacteraceae.